Molecule: long non-coding RNA, 9238 nt
Organism: Melospiza melodia melodia
Lineage: Eukaryota; Metazoa; Chordata; Aves; Passeriformes; Passerellidae
Exons: 3
Source: RefSeq, a predicted model, not a curated record
UUUUUUUUCCUGAUAAGGUAUAUGUAUUAGUUAUAAAUGAGGAAGAGAAAAUAAAUAUUAAUUAUUGUGGAAAAUGUAAUAAUAAUGGUUACUUUAAAAAGUUCCUUAUCAUAAGAGACAAGACAAAGAUGGCAACUUUAAAGAAAUGUUUGACGUAAGAAAUGAAAUAAAUAUGAUGGCUUUAGUGGGAAACAAAACCAAAAAAAAGGUGACUUAAAUAUUUAGUGUGGGAAACAAAAUAACUAUGGCAGUUUAACAAGAGUUUCGGAAUAAUAAUGUCAAUUCCAAUGAACAUUUAUAACCUAACAAUAGUGAAAUGUCGAAAUUAAUUCCAAAAAGAAAUACAUUAUCUAUCCUUUUAGCUGGAAAACUAAACAAUAAUGAUGGCUAUUUCAAGAAAUGAAACAACUUACCUGCUCAACCAAAUACAAAAUAGAUGCAGCAAGCCACUUACUUAAAAUGGUCACUGCACACCACACAUGAAAAUCAAAAUGGCCGCUUCCUGACCCACUGCAUAGAAAACUCAAAAUGGCCGCUUCUCAGCUCGCCUCACCAAAAACUCAAAAUGGCUGCUUCUUGGUCUGCCUCACUGAAAACUCAAAAUGACCGCUUGUCAGCUCGCCUCACAGAAAACUCCAAAUGGCUGCUUAUUGGCCCAUCUCACAGAAAACCCCAAAUGGCCGCUUCUUGGCCAGCCACACAGAAAACUCCAAAAUUCCUAAGGAGUGGUCAAAGGAAUUUUGGCCUGCCCUCACCUUCAAACCUCACUCCUUAGGGGCCCCGACUCUUAACAUACAAAAAAAGAGAAAAAUUCUCCGCAAUGUAAGCUGGUUCUAACCUCCCCUUCAACCUCAGUGACUGAAAGGGCCCUUCCACAGCCGGUGGCCCACCUUCCCCCUGCGCGUCACCAUCCCUGUGAAGUCUAUUUUCAGCCACCCCUACGACCCUCUUCAGCUGGGAUCCUAGCUCAGGGUAAGCCUACGUCCCCUCUAUGACCCCCUUCCCACUGGGGUCCUAGUUCAAGGGGACCCUACUCCCCUUGGGUUGGGAACCCUCCCCUUCCCUGGCUUCAGAAAAGGGGCACUCCCCUACACGGUGGCCACUUUGUUCAGUAUAGGACUAUUUUCUCCCACCCCCAAGGUCCUAGUUCCUCAGGGAGUAGACUCCCCUAAUCUAUCCCUGAGGAACAGUCCUCCAGGUAGUUUGAGCUAGCAGUUGGAGCUCUACUCCUCACUGGGAAAGCCCGCCCCACUAACCCCCUCAGGUAACCCUAUGACCCCCCAGUGGGAUCCUAGUUCGGGAUACCGAGUGUGUCCCGCUCUAUGACCCCGCAGCGGGGUCCUAGUUCAAGGGGUACAACUCAGGCCAAGGGCUCAAACCACUCCUAGGAGCCUCCAAUCACCGGAGGAAGGGGAGCCUAUGUGGGUAAGGGCAGCUAUAGGUUGGCAUUCCCCAUCUCCCCUACUCCCGGGGGUCCAUAGGGGUACAUGCACUCCACGACAACACUCACUUCCUACAAUCUGUGUAUUUCUCUCAAGCCUAAUUCAAAUGCAAAAUAUGUGCGUUAGCCGUAUUUUGAGCUCCAGAAUGUAGCAACCUUCUUGCAGUUAAUGCCAAAACUAAAACUUAGAGAACUAAAUGGUUGGUACGUUCAGGUCUUUCCAGACUCCAAAGUGAGACCAUCAAAAGAGCAGAUUCUAAAAUAAUAACUACAGCACAAAUAUAAAUGUAUAAUCAUGGCUAUUUCUGAUGUACUUUAUUGAUUGAAAUGAAUAUUUCAGGUAGAGUUUUCAACAUUAUAAACAGAGACAAGAGAGACAAGAAGAACAAAGCAUCACACAGUCUUUAGACUGUCUAAAGACUUUUAGAACUGAAGUUCCAGUUGGUAGAUAAUAGAAAGUGAAUCUUUCAUCAUGUGUUUGGAUAAUACCAUGAUAGACUUGCCAGACUCUUAGUGGGCAUGAACAAGGGCAAAGCAGACGAAGAGCAAAGGAGAGUAUUUCCAGCAAUAGACUGAUCUUAAUUACAUGCCGGAGUGGUCUUGUGAGGCUUGUUAACCUGUGCCUGACCUUCUAUAAUAAUUUCUCCUGACAGCAACAAGGAUGUGUCAGCCUGAACCCCUUGGGGGCUGCACUUGGGGGCACAGGCAUAGUCUAUGCACGCAUAGAGGUGUGGGAAAUGAAGGUCUGUACCUACAAAAGGGAUUUAGUACCCCAAAAACAUAUGAUGGGCUGGCACAUGCCCCAUCUGGCAGCCCCUGAGUCUCCCCAGGAAAAGCUGGGUGAGGUGGCAAGUGACAUUGGAACUCCCUGUGGAGGGGCAGAAGUUCCCUCCUACCAUGCUGCCUGGCCUGGGUCAGGAUAAAAAAGAUGGGCUGCUUUACAGGGGCACUGUGGGGAGGCUGAUAAGGCUUCUCUAGUUCCUGGCCAACUUGAGAACCAGCCAUACCUUAAGGUGAGGUGACUUUUGCUUUGAUCAACAAUUAAGCAAAGGAACUAGGUUCUAGACAUAUCUGAAAGUGAUAUUAAAACACAAAUGAGAUUAGAUGUUUGGAUUCAAAGUGAUAACUCACUUAUUUUUUCAUGAAGGAAGGAUAAAAAGGAAACAGAAAAAUAGGAAAUUUCCAAGAAUAAUGACGAAUACCACAGGAAAGGGAUUACCAGGGGUCCAGCACUGGCUUAUAGAGUGCAUGGGGAAUAUCUUCAUGGGGCAUGAUGGGUCUUUCCCUGGUGAAGCUCCUCUGAGAGCUGGCCAGCAAUCCAGCAAGGGAGCUGAGCCAGGCAGCCCGACCAGCGGGGGAUGGGGCAGGGGUUGAGGGAGGAGGAGGGGAAGGACAAACAGCUUUGUAGGAGCAGCCAGAACAGUGAAGGACAGCAAAGACAGUAAAGACUCCAUCACUUUGAUAAGUUUUUAGACAUGGGGGCAGGUUAGCCACAUCCAUCAUAACUUUAUUUGCUCCCUUGAGGUUGGCUGGUUCAUUGGUGUUCAGGAGAAGUUUGCCUGAUGUUUCGAAGUUUAUUACUUACUCUGCUGAUGUACCAAGUACAAGCCCUUCUAAUGACUUGAAACAGGAUGCUUCAUUUUCUAAAAUAUAGCAGUUUCUAAAGUUUUUGUUAGAGGCAGUUGAACACUUUAACUUUCAAACCUUAAUUUUCUAAGAGGCAAUUGAGAAACAUUCCUUACUUUUUACUCAUUCCCUACACCAGGCAAGACCUGGAGCAAAGCACGAAUGAGUGUGAGGCUGUGCAAGUGAGGACCAGGGGUGCCAGGGCCCAGUGGUGCCCUGCCCUUUCACUUGCUAGUGAAAGGAGGAACUUGAGGAGGAGUAGAUUGAUGGUGCAGGUCAACAACCACUGUUGCAGCUGGUCUUGAUUAAAACUUCAGCUUUUAUGACCACAGGGCCAUUUUGAAAGAUGAAGGAUGGUUAGUUGGUCCAACAUGACUGUGACAAAAGAGCUUCUCAUGUCUGUCAAGUCUGGGCAAGAUAGUGAGAAAGGUUUUGAACUAGAAACAGUCUUUUAGGCAAAGAUGUAGCUAGCAUGAGCCUAGGCUGCUUCAGUGCAGGGUGGGGUGGGGUAGGAAAAGGGGAGUUAACCAGUGCUUGGUACUUAGAGGUAUAGAAAGUGUGGGGGGAAGGGAGGUAUCAGCUUGAGCACGUCGGGCAUUCAGAAAGAAUGUGAGGAAUUUGAGUUCCUGAUACCCAGCCAAUGGGAUAAUGGGACAGGGACAACAGCGGUUGAGGAAGAGUAUAAAAGUUGGUGCAUUUUAGAGAGAUGUAUGGCUCCUCAGUGAGAUGCACCUGACUCAGAUGACUUGUUAUCAGUAAGUAAGUGAUGCUUUGGUGACUUUGUUCUCUUUCAACUUGUUACAGAUGGAUAGUGAGAUGAUUGGCGCUCGCAUGGGCAUGAAUACUGUGUGAAUAUUAAAAGAAUCUUUAUUGAGGCAUAGUUAUGUUAUUGUAGUUUAGAUGUCCUCUGUCCUCUCCAUAGUUCCCUUUCCUCCUCUCCCCCUCUGUAUUGUUGCCAUUAGGCAGCCUGGGUUGUCUAGGACAGGUAGAAAGAAGGUGGGCACAUGUGCCCCUUCCAUGGGGCAGUUGGGAACAGAAAAGCUUGUUUCUAAGGGGCAUGACAACACGUGGCCCUCCAAUCAAGUGACAAGAAAGCAGUCUCCACUGAUAAAUGGCAAAGAAGAGUUGACUGACAGACCUUGGGAAGGGGCCAGGGUGGCUGACGCAAUUGCUAGGGGUAUAAAACACUGAGCAUCCAUCUUGAAGAUGAACCUGCCACGCGGUAGGCAGCCAUGAAGGCUGUUCGCAGCACUGCAAUUUUUCCUUAUUGUUGGAAUCCAUGGAGUUAGAGGGUUUUUAGGAAAUGGUUAAAAAAGUAUAGGCCUCAGACUGAAGUUUUGUUAGCAUUGCAGAUACAGUAGAAAAGUUUCCCAAGCAGUAGAGCAUACGUGACAAAUAACAAUAGGCUUCUGUAGAAUUGGCUUUAGGAUGGCAGCAAGGUUAUUUAAUGUAUAUCUUUAGAAGGUUAGCAUGAAUAGGGCUCUGUUCUUUGUCUCUUAUGAACCAGUCAUUGUUUUAACUACCAUUACGUGUGUUUUAUAAGAUUGGAUAGAAUGCUUGUCAAUAUGUGUUGUUCUAUGUAUGAUUGGCUGAAAUCUAGACUGAGAUGGUUUUAUGUCAUUCUGUAUCACCCCACCUUCUCUGGCAUUCCCUGUGGAUCAGCGAGCUGUUAACAUCCUGUCUCCAUUGUAAAACCAUGUUCUGAGACUGAUGUGCAAAUAAUAAAAAAAGGCUCUUCACUGGUCUGGUUUGUCCAGUGUUGUCCAUAUCUGGACGUUUUGCAGUGGCAAGUGGGUUCCUUUCUUAAGACGUGGGUUCCUGACACAAUUGGACCUAUAUCUACCCUUUGUCCCCAUAAUUGGUGCCUGCCCGUGUGAGGAUACCACGUUCAAGGAUGUAGAUUGGAAGAAAAAAGAAAAAUCGUGGAUUUACCUGCUGCUGGAGACUCAAGUGUUAAUCAGGAGGACGGUAUCAUCUCUCCCACCGAAGCCAAGGAAUUUGUUGCAGCUGACCGGACCACUCCAUCUAAGAGACUUCAACUUCCAUCUGGUAACUGUUUCCCUUGAGUGCCCAGAUAACUGGAGACAGAUUGGAUAAUAUACGCAACCCCUGUGGGAGAGAGACCUUCUUGCCCAGUGGGGAGCCAGAAUUGACCUCCCAGCGGCUCCCCAAGGUUUUUUGGGCUGCGGUCACUGAAGAGCAUCCUACCCAGAAGCUGCAUUGGAAGACCAAUAAACCAGUAUGGGUAGAACAGUGGCCACUCAAUAAACAAAAGUUGAAGGCGCUCAAUGAGCUCGUCCAGGAGCAGCUGCUUAAAGGUAAUCUGGUAGAGACCGUGUCGGAAUGGAACUCCCCAGUUUUUGUCAUCAAAAAACCCAACAAAGAUAAGUGGCAGAUCCUCCAUGACCUCCGCCAAAUUUAUUAAGGACAUGGGUCCUCUCCAACCAGGGAUGCCGUCCCCAACGAUGCUCCCCCAAAAUUGGGAUUUGGCAAUUGUAGAUGUAAAAGAUUGUUUCUUUUAAAUUCCCCUACUUCCUGACAACGCCCCAUGUUUUGCCUUCAUGGUCCCCACCAUCAACCAUGAAGCCCCAAGGAAGCGCUACCAUUGGCGUGUUUUAACACAGGGAAUGAAAAACAGCCCUGUUAUCUGCCAGUGGUACGUGGCUUCCUUGUUGUCCCCAGUACAUACAGCCGCAAAAGACGCUAUAAUUCUCCAUUAUAUGGACGACAUACUUGUUUGCUCCAAUGGAUGACAUACUUACUCACGUACUUGACCUGACAAGCAAUGCAUUGAUUGCUGCAGGCUUCGAGCUUCAGCAGGACAAAAUUCAGUGGAUGCUGGAAGUACCUGGGUUUGGAGAUUAGCAGGCGGACCAUUGUGCUGCAAAAAUUGGUUAUAAAGAGUAAUGUUAAGACCUUGGCAGAUGUCCACCAGUUGUGUGGGUCUUUGAAUUGGGUAAGGGCCUUGGCUAGGAAUUCCAACCAACGACCUAGCCCCCUUUUCAAUUUAUUGAAGAGGGGAGAGGAGCUCAGUUCUCCUAGGUCACUUACCCAGGAGGCAGAGACAGCACUGGAGAAAAUCCAAAAGUCCACUUCAGCCAGGCAGGCCCACAGAUAUCAGCCGGGUCUGCCGUUCAAAUUUAUUAUUCUAGGAAAGUUGCCACACCUCCAUGGGGUGAUUUUUCAGUGGGACGAGUCACCCAAGGACAACGACUGAGGCUCGAGAGACCCUCUCUUCAUUAUAGAGUGGGUCUUCCUCGGCCACCAUAGGUCCAAGAGGAUGACACAGCCAUAAGAGCUGAUGGCAGAACUGAUCCGCAAGGCAAGAUCACAGAUCAGGAAGCUUGCAGGUUGUGAUUUUGACUGCAUUCACAUCCCCAUCCAAUUGAAAUCGGGCCAAUUCAAAAAGGACACAUCUGACAAACUGCUCAGAGAGAAUGAGAUGUUACAAUUUGCACUGGACUGCUAUACCAGCCAAAUCGCUGUUGAUCAGCUGGCCCACAAAAUUUUUAAUCAGGAUGUUCAAUUUUCCUUUUUUUUUUUUUUUUUUCGGCUCUUGGUUCAGAGACGAACCCCUCUGAAGGCACUGACCAUGUUUACUCAUGCGUCCAGAGCAUCUCACAAGUCUGUAAUGACUUGGAAGGACCGUCAAACCCAGCGAUGGGAGGCUGAUGUUACUGAGGUGGAAGGAUCACCUCAAGUAGCUGAAUUGGACACAGUCAUCAGGGCUUUCGAGAGGUUCUCUGAACCGUUCAAUUUGGUCACAAAUUCGUCUUACAUUGCAGGUGUAGUGUCUGGGGCAGAAAAUGCAGUAUUGCAGGAAGUGUCCAACAUUCCCUUAUUCAACUUGCUCUCAAGAUUAGUCAUGCUGGUCUCCCACCGAGAGCAACCUUUUUCGUAAUGCAUACCGACCUGCUGGGGUUCAUUGCAGAGGGCAAUCAAAGAGCUGAUGCCCUUGCCAUUCCAGUCCAGAUGGCCCCCACUCCCGGAUGUGUGCAGCCAAGCUAAGAUUAGCCACUAGCUAUUCCACCAAAACGCCCCUGGCCUUGUUCGAAAUUUCAGAUCACUUGAGAACAGGCAAGGUGAUUGUGGCUACUUGCUCUCAGUGCUAGUCCCAUCAACUCCCAUCCAUCAGCUCUGGUAUCAACCCCAGAGGCUUGUCUAGUUGUGAGGUGUGGCAAAUGGACGUGACACAUGUCCCAUCUUUUGGCCGGUUGAAUUACGUCCAUGUUUCCGUGGAUGCCUUCUCCAGUGCAGUCUAUGCUUCUGCCCAUACAGGGCAAAAAGCAGCCAACACAGAAAAACAUCUUGUGCAGGCUUUCUGUGUGGUGGGCACCCCCAAGGUCAUCAAAAAUGACAAUGGCCCAGCGUACAAAUCCAGGGAACUCAAGAGCUUCCUGCAGCAAUGGGGAAUAGAGCACAAGACCGGCAUCUCCUAUUCCCCGACAGGCAGAGCUGUGGUGGAGAGGACCCACCAGAGCCUAAAAAAGGUUCUGAAACAAAAAAGCACAGCAGUGGAGUCCCCACAUGUCCAAGGCACUUUUUAUGAUUAAUUUUUUAAAUUGCUCCUUUGACAACCUUAAUCCCUCUAUAGUGAGGCACUUUGGUCACCACAUACAGCUGCACCUGAAAGCCAGGCCUCCAGUCCUAGUCAAGGAUCCGGAGACCUGGAAGACAGAAGGGCCCUUUGACCUGGUAACCUGGGGAAGGGGAUACGCAUGUGUGUCCACUCCCUCAGGUUUGAAAUGGGCUCCAUCCAAAUGGGUCAGGCCCUUUCUUCCAAGGAAAGCACCGGUAGUCAGGGUUGUGACGCAGGUCAAGGAGGCCCGUUGGAGGAGGAAGCACAAACCCUUCAGCCUAGAUCUAGACCUCCUGGGGCAGAACCAACGUUUUUAAACUUGUUUCUCAAUUUUGUUUCUCUGUUGUUUCAGCAACCCCAACCUGAUGGCUCCCUCUCAAGCUGCUGUUAUCCUAUGGGGUCUCUCAGGUCGGGUGGGGCCAAUUUUCUGUGCUUUUAGUUCUUUUUAGUUGUAGUUUCAAUUGUGUCCUCCAUCAUUUGGAGAUUACUUUUCAUUAAUUUUUUUAAACAAUAAAGGGGGAGAUGUUGUGUUGUGUCUAUGUAAGUUGGACUGUUCUGUUCCCCCCUAUCAUGUAAUGGUUCUGCCCUGGUUCUCCCUUCCCUCCCUUGUGCUGCCAGUUAUCCCAACUCCUCCCCAGUUGCCUUGGAGAUUAAUGUACCCUUUCUCAAAUCCCUCCCCGGUGCCCUGUCACUCAGCGCUCCCACCCUUCUCUCUAGAACUCUCUAGAAACUUCUAGCUAGAGCGUUGAGUGAUUGGUUCAGAGGCCAGGGUCCCACCCUCAAGUUAUCCCCAUUGGUGUUCUCCCCAAGUCAAUCUUUUGUAUCCCACUCCCCUCUGAAACCCUAUUCGUCCAAGGACCGACUCCUCCCUUGUUUCCCUCCCUCCUUAUAAGCUGUUACAACUUCCCCCUCUUUCCCUUCGGCUGUCGGUUCCCCCUGGGACCCAAUAAACCUGGAUUCACCAUAGCUGGAGAGCGCUCUCUUCUUUUUCUGCUGACUUGGCCAUAAGCCAAGCCAUGUCCUACCACAAGGUAGUGCUGCUGUCAUAGCACAGAGCGGUUAUCUUAGGUGCUGUCCCAAACCACGGAGAUAGGGUGUUGGGAUUCAUAAAAUUAGAGAGGUUUGAGAAAGUGGUAAAAAAACUAGGCCUCAGACAGCAGAUUUGUGAACAUUGCUAAUACAGCGAAAAGUUUUCUAAGCAGUAGAGCAGAUGUGAGAAAUAGAACAAUAAGCCCCUGUGACUUGCCCUUAUAGGUUGCAACAAGUUUAUGUAAUAUAUAUCUUUGGAAGGUUAGUAUGAAUGAGUCUCUGUGCUUUGUCUCUCAUAAACAAGCCAUUGUGUUAGAAAAUAAGUCUCUUAUUGUGUUAACUACGAUUACGUGUGUUUCAUAUGAUUGGAUAGAAUUAUUGUCAAUAUGUUUUGCUCUAUGUGUGAUUGGCUGAAACCUAGGCUGAGAUGCCUUUAUGCUACCCUGUAAUACGACGUUUCCUUGGCAUUCCAUUUGAAUCAGAGAGCUGUAAACAUACUCUGUCUCCACUGUCCUAACAAUGUACUGAGACUGAAGUGUGAAAUAAACAGCUCACACCACUGA